RNAcentral lists this ribosomal RNA (575 nucleotides) under Stutzerimonas stutzeri. RNAcentral describes it as "bacterial SSU rRNA". It matches the Rfam family "Bacterial small subunit ribosomal RNA", at positions 96 to 667 of the family's 1533-position model. The record is from RNAcentral. Lineage: Bacteria; Pseudomonadati; Pseudomonadota; Gammaproteobacteria; Pseudomonadales; Pseudomonadaceae.
CGGCGGACGGGUGAGUAAUGCCUAGGAAUCUGCCUGGUAGUGGGGGACAACGUUUCGAAAGGAACGCUAAUACCGCAUACGUCCUACGGGAGAAAGCGGGGGAUCUUCGGGCCUUGCGCUAUCAGAUGAGCCUAGGUCGGAUUAGCUAGUUGGUGAGGUAAUGGCUCACCAAGGCGACGAUCCGUAACUGGUCUGAGAGGAUGAUCAGUCACACUGGAACUGAGACACGGUCCAGACUCCUACGGGAGGCAGCAGUGGGGAAUAUUGGACAAUGGGCGAAAGCCUGAUCCAGCCAUGCCGCGUGUGUGAAGAAGGUCUUCGGAUUGUAAAGCACUUUAAGUUGGGAGGAAGGGCAGUAAGCUAAUACCUUGCUGUUUUGACGUUACCGACAGAAUAAGCACCGGCUGACUUCGUGCCAGCAGCCGCGGUAAUACGAAGGGUGCAAGCGUUAAUCGGAAUUGCUGGGCGUAAAGCGCGCGUAGGUGGUUCGUUAAGUUGGAUGUGAAAGCCCCGGGCUCAACCUGGGAACUGCAUCCAAAACUGGCGAGCUAGAGUAUGGCAGAGGGUGGUGGAAU